UGGGGCGUCGCCAAGUGGUAAGGCACCGGAUUUUGAUUCCGGCAUUCGGAGGUUCGAAUCCUCCCGCCCCAGCCA
This 75-nucleotide transfer RNA is filed under the name Alphaproteobacteria bacterium. Its description in RNAcentral is "tRNA-Gln". It matches the Rfam family "tRNA". Rfam says of the family: Transfer RNA (tRNA) molecules are approximately 80 nucleotides in length. Their secondary structure includes four short double-helical elements and three loops (D, anti-codon, and T loops). Further hydrogen bonds mediate the characteristic L-shaped molecular structure. tRNAs have two regions of fundamental functional importance: the anti-codon, which is responsible for specific mRNA codon recognition, and the 3' end, to which the tRNAs corresponding amino acid is attached (by aminoacyl-tRNA synthetases). tRNAs cope with the degeneracy of the genetic code in two manners: having more than one tRNA (with a specific anti-codon) for a particular amino acid; and 'wobble' base-pairing, i.e. permitting non-standard base-pairing at the 3rd anti-codon position. RNAcentral also lists the same sequence under 7 other names. Lineage: Bacteria; Pseudomonadati; Pseudomonadota; Alphaproteobacteria. The record is from RNAcentral.